GUUACUUUGACAGAAUAGUGUAUUAAAUUUAGAAUUUAAAUAAAAAUAAUUGUUAAGUAUUUAAGUAAUA
Molecule: transfer RNA, 70 nt
Filed under: Anisopteromalus calandrae
Lineage: Eukaryota; Metazoa; Arthropoda; Insecta; Hymenoptera; Pteromalidae
Description: tRNA-Leu
Source: RNAcentral